AUUGAACGCUGGCGGCAUGCCUUACACAUGCAAGUCGAACGGCAGCACGGGAGCUUGCUCCUGGUGGCGAGUGGCGAACGGGUGAGUAAUGCAUCGGAACGUGCCCUGAAGUGGGGGAUAACGUAGCGAAAGUUACGCUAAUACCGCAUAUUCUGUGAGCAGGAAAGCAGGGGAUCUUCGGACCUUGCGCUUUUUGGAGCGGCCGAUGUCGGAUUAGCUAGUUGGUGGGUAAAGGCCCACCAAGGCGACGAUCCGUAGCGGGUCUGAGAGGAUGAUCCGCCACACUGGAACUGAGACACGGUCCAGACUCCUACGGGAGGCAGCAGUGGGGAAUUUUGGACAAUGGGCGCAAGCCUGAUCCAGCCAUGCCGCGUGAGUGAAGAAGGCCU
RNAcentral lists this ribosomal RNA (389 nucleotides) under uncultured bacterium. Its description in RNAcentral is "bacterial SSU rRNA". It matches the Rfam family "Bacterial small subunit ribosomal RNA", at positions 30 to 417 of the family's 1533-position model. The record is from RNAcentral.